CCCGACUGAGUACAAGGGAAAUCCACCCCAACUCACUCACAGUCGUCCUGCGUUAAAGCUGCACUCACACUCUCUAAUAGGCUGGUUGAGACUAGAAGCAUUCGUUUAAAUCUGGCCUUGUCCCCUGGCAACAAAAACCAUGCAUGGUUCUGAAAAGAGGACAUGAGCCUGGGAAACCCUUUUAGGAAAACAGACGGGAGCUCAAAGCGCAGCGGGAACGGAAUGUCCAAAAGGGAAGAAUGAUACCCCGGCCAUAACCGGAUGCAACGUGCUGCUCCUGCAUUGUUGCAAAGGAGCUUCCAGUCUAGUUCCGAACCGUGCCUUCCAGUAUUUAGCCAGUGAUGCCCUGCAUGUUGAGCACACAGCAAGCAGCCCUGACCCGUUGACUCCACUAGACCGCUGAAGGUGUGGUAUCUGGCUCCCAGAUGUUAGCAACAGAUCCUUUAAGCCCAAUAAGUUGUGACAAGGGGCUUCCAUUGAUUGAACUUGUUUGUCCAGCACAUCCCAAAGAUGCUCGACUGGAUUGAGAUCUGGGGGAUUUGGAGGCCAACUCAACACCUCAAACUCCUCAAACCAUUCCUGAGAUAUUUUUUACUUUGUGGGAAGGCCUUCUUCCCAUAGUGCAUCCUGGUGCCAGGUGUUCCCCAGGUAAGCAGCAAGCACAAACCCAGCCAUCUACAUGAUGUAAUAGAAAAUAUGAUUCAUAAGACCAGACCACUUUCUUCCAUUUCUCUGUGGUCCAGUUCUGUGUCCAUUGUACAGUGACGUACAGGGGUCAGCAUGGGUACCCUGAUUGGUCUGCAGCUAUGCAGCCCCUUUCGCAGCAAACUGUGAUGCACUGAGUACUCUGACACUAAAGUGAGCUACAGUAGCUCAUCUAUUGAAUACAUGGGCCAACCUUUUUGCUGUGAGGUGACAGUGCUAACCACCGCACCACCAUACACCUCUUAUAUUGUUUUCCAUUAAAUUUUAAAUGACAUAGGAGAAGCCGCUAUUAUGACCUUCUGGGAAUUCAUUUCUAUUUCCACUGUACUGCUAUAUGGCAACUGCUGUAACGUGAAAAGAAGCUGUAUCACAGUUUAUAAUGGUUUUACCAUUACCCUCAAAGGUAGUUUGAAGAUUAAUCAUUAUCCCUAUAACAGUUAAAGCAGAAUCCAGGAAUCUGCUGCAUCAGCUGCACGACUCUGCUGAUAAAUCAGGUAGCAGACCUGAAUCAACUGCUGAGCCGCUGUUGCAUCAGUUCUUACAUGUCUGAGUAAAUAUUGUCGCUGGAGUGUGCAUUGCUGUAGCUUUCAUCAGCACUGUCAUGAAAAUCUACAGAAUGAUGCUGCCUGUUUAUCUGACUUUCUCUUCACUUAACCAUAAAAAGCCUUAAAGCCCUUGUGCAUACAAUUUAUACUGAGCCAUAAUGAAACCAUUUACGCCUGUUUGCAUUAAACAAGUCCUCCUCUAAAUCCUGAGGGGUGACUAUAACAUCCUGGUGCGAAAGGUGAGGCAGUGGUUAAACAUCAAUCCACGCCAAGUCCUGUAAUCCGCUCACGUGGUGUGCGUGACGUUUGGUGAUGUAAAGAUACGCUAUUGGAUCAAAACAGAGGAGCCUUCCUCUCAACAAGAGCGAGCCCUCGGUGAUAAAUAUGGUGCAUGUGAUGGAAAAUACAUAGCACCCUUUCCUCCUACAGCAUUAUUUAACAUCGGUGCUCUGUUUCUUGAAAUUUGUCCUGCGAGACUGAAUUGAGGACGGGACAUACAGGACGUGCUUUUAACUGAUUUCCUGAAAUGCAGUUAUGGUCGAAAUCACCUGCCAAUAGAAAAAUCUAAAUACUACUAAAAAAGAAAAGUGCCAGUCCUCGUGACGUGAGCCAGUCACCUCGGGUCGAUGCCAGUACGAGCAAAGUAACAAUAGCUGUGAUUUUCUUGCAGAAGGGACACAAUGUCUUAUAUGCAAAGGGGGGAGGGAAAAAUCGUUGCCCCUGACAGAAAUAACCCAAAUGAUGUCAUUCAUCCUAAUCGUGAGCGCAUCUUGCAAAAUAUAGGCCAACUGCACAGAAACAAGUGUAUUUUAAUUUGUUUAACUCUAAUCAAUCCUUCUCUUAUGCUAACUGGGAGGAAACAUUUCUCCUUGGAAGCGAAAUCUGUCCACCGAGCAGGGAUGAACUGUCAGGGAAGUGGCCACAAUCUCCGGAGGUAGAUAUUAUGUAACAUCCACACACGGAUCGUGAUGCUCUCCGCUUCUCUUCCUGCUUUGAGGCAGAGCCCGAGACGAUAAAUUGUAAUUCUCAUAAACUCAAUCAAAGAGUGCGAAUAGAAAAUCCAGCAGAUGACUUUACCUUUC
Molecule: long non-coding RNA, 2332 nt
Organism: Haplochromis burtoni (Burton's mouthbrooder)
Lineage: Eukaryota; Metazoa; Chordata; Actinopteri; Cichliformes; Cichlidae
Exons: 3
Source: RefSeq, a predicted model, not a curated record